ACCCCUAAGGCGAGGCCGAAAGGCGUAGUCGAUGGGAAACGGGUUAAUAUUCCCGUACUUGGUGUUACUGCGAAGGGGGGACGGAGAAGGCUAUGUUGGCCGGGCGACGGUUGUCCCGGUUUAAGCGUGUAGGUGUGUGUUCCAGGUAAAUCCGGUUCACUUUAACACUGAGGCGUGACGACGAGGCACUACGGUGCUGAAGCAACAAAUGCCCUGCUUCCAGGAAAAGCCUCUAAGCAUCAGGUAACAYSAAAUCGUACCCCAAACCGACACAGGUGGUCAGGUAGAGAAUACCAAGGCGCUUGAGAGAACUCGGGUGAAGGAACUAGGCAAAAUGGUGCCGUAACUUCGGGAGAAGGCACGCUGACACGUAGGUGAAGUGAUUUACUCAUGGAGCUGAAGUCAGUCGAAGAUACCAGCUGGCUGCAACUGUUUAUUAAAAACACAGCACUGUGCAAACACGAAAGUGGACGUAUACGGUGUGACGCCUGCCCGGUGCCGGAAGGUUAAUUGAUGGGGUCAGCGCAAGCGAAGCUCCUGAUCGAAGCCCCGGUAAACGGCGGCCGUAACUAUAACGGUCCUAAGGUAGCGAAAUUCCUUGUCGGGUAAGUUCCGACCUGCACGAAUGGCGUAAUGAUGGCCAGGCUGUCUCCACCCGAGACUCAGUGAAAUUGAACUCGCUGUGAAGAUGCAGUGUACCCGCGGCAAGACGGAAAGACCCCGUGAACCUUUACUAUAGCUUGACACUGAACAUUGAGCCUUGAUGUGUAGGAUAGGUGGGAGGCUUUGAAGUGUGGACGCCAGUCUGCAUGGAGCCGACCUUGAAAUACCACCCUUUAAUGUUUGAUGUUCUAACGUGGACCCGUWAYCCGGGUUGCGGACAGUGUCUGGUGGGUAGUUUGACUGGGGCGGUCUCCUCCUAAAGAGUAACGGAGGAGCACGAAGGUUGGCUAAUCCUGGUCGGACAUCAGGAGGUUAGUGCAAUGGCAUAAGCCAGCUUGACUGCGAGCGUGACGGCGCGAGCAGGUGCGAAAGCAGGUCAUAGUGAUCCGGUGGUUCUGAAUGGAAGGGCCAUCGCUCAACGGAUAAAAGGUACUCCGGGGAUAACAGGCUGAUACCGCCCAAGAGUUCAUAUCGACGGCGGUGUUUGGCACCUCGAUGUCGGCUCAUCACAUCCUGGGGCUGAAGUAGGUCCCAAGGGUAUGGCUGUUCGCCAUUUAAAGUGGUACGCGAGCUGGGUUUAGAACGUCGUGAGACAGUUCGGUCCCUAUCUGCCGUGGGCGCUGGAGAACUGAGGGGGGCUGCUCCUAGUACGAGAGGACCGGAGUGGACGCAUCACUGGUGUUCGGGUUGUCAUGCCAAUGGCACUGCCCGGUAGCUAAAUGCGGAAGAGAUAAGUGCUGAAAGCAUCUAAGCACGAAACUUGCCCCGAGAUGAGUUCUCCCUGAGACUU
This 1453-nucleotide ribosomal RNA is filed under the name Salmonella enterica. RNAcentral describes it as "partial 23S ribosomal RNA". The record is from RNAcentral. Lineage: Bacteria; Pseudomonadati; Pseudomonadota; Gammaproteobacteria; Enterobacterales; Enterobacteriaceae.